GAUGAACGCUGGCGGCGUGCCUAAUACAUGCAAGUCGAGCGAACAGAUGAGGAGCUUGCUCCUCUGACGUUAGCGGCGGACGGGUGAGUAACACGUGGAUAACCUACCUAUAAGACUGGGAUAACUUCGGGAAACCGGAGCUAAUACCGGAUAAUAUAUUGAACCGCAUGGUUCAAUAGUGAAAGACGGUUUUGCUGUCACUUAUAGAUGGAUCCGCGCCGCAUUAGCUAGUUGGUAAGGUAACGGCUUACCAAGGCAACGAUGCGUAGCCGACCUGAGAGGGUGAUCGGCCACACUGGAACUGAGACACGGUCCAGACUACUACGGGAGGCAGCAGUAGGGAAUCUUCCGCAAAGGGCGAAAGCAUGACGGAGCAACGCCGCGUGAGUGAUGAAGGUCUUCGGAUCGUAAAACUCUGUUAUUAGGGAAGAACAAAUGUGUAAGUAACUAUGCACGUCUUGACGGUACCUAAUCAGAAAGCCACGGCUAACUACGUG
This 497-nucleotide ribosomal RNA is filed under the name uncultured bacterium. RNAcentral describes it as "partial 16S ribosomal RNA". It matches the Rfam family "Bacterial small subunit ribosomal RNA", at positions 28 to 507 of the family's 1533-position model. The record is from RNAcentral.